GCGACUGAUUAGAAGCUUGCUUCUAUGACGUUAGCGGCGGACGGGUGAGUAACACGUGGGCAACCUGCCUGUAAGACUGGGAUAACUCCGGGAAACCGGAGCUAAUACCGGAUAACAUUUUUUCUUGCAUAAGAGAAAAUUGAAAGAUGGUUUCGGCUAUCACUUACAGAUGGGCCCGCGGUGCAUUAGCUAGUUGGUGAGGUAACGGCUCACCAAGGCAACGAUGCAUAGCCGACCUGAGAGGGUGAUCGGCCACACUGGGACUGAGACACGGCCCAGACUCCUACGGGAGGCAGCAGUAGGGAAUCUUCCGCAAUGGACGAAAGUCUGACGGAGCAACGCCGCGUGAGUGAUGAAGGCUUUCGGGUCGUAAAACUCUGUUGUUAGGGAAGAACAAGUACAAGAGUAACUGCUUGUACCUUGACGGUACCUAACCAGAAAGCCACGGCUAACUACGUGCCAGCAGCCGCGGUAAUACGUAGGUGGCAAGCGUUAUCCGGAAUUAUUGGGCGUAAAGCGCGCGCAGGCGGUUUCUUAAGUCUGAUGUGAAAGCCCACGGCUCAACCGUGGAGGGUCAUUGGAAACUGGGGAACUUGAGUGCAGAAGAGAAAAGCGGAAUUCCACGUGUAGCGGUGAAAUGCGUAGAGAUGUGGAGGAACACCAGUGGCGAA
Molecule: ribosomal RNA, 671 nt
Filed under: Priestia flexa
Lineage: Bacteria; Bacillati; Bacillota; Bacilli; Caryophanales; Bacillaceae
Description: bacterial SSU rRNA
Rfam family: Bacterial small subunit ribosomal RNA
Source: RNAcentral